AUUGAACGCUGGCGGCAUGCCUUACACAUGCAAGUCGAACGGCAGCAUGGAGAGCUUGCUCUCUGAUGGCGAGUGGCGAACGGGUGAGUAAUGCAUCGGAACGUACCGUGUAAUGGGGGAUAACGUAGCGAAAGUUACGCUAAUACCGCAUACGACAUGAGGGUGAAAGCAGGGGAUCGCAAGACCUUGCGUUAUACGAGCGGCCGAUGUCAGAUUAGCUAGUUGGUGAGGUAAAGGCUCACCAAGGCGACGAUCUGUAGCGGGUCUGAGAGGAUGAUCCGCCACACUGGGACUGAGACACGGCCCAAACUCCUACGGGAGGCAGCAGUGGGGAAUUUUGGACAAUGGGGGCAACCCUGAUCCAGCCAUGCCGCGUGAGUGAAGAAGGCCUUCGGGUUGUAAAGCUCUUUCGGCCGGGAAGAAAUCGCACAGGCUAAUACUCUGUGUGGAUGACGGUACCGGCAUAAGAAGCACCGGCUAACUACGUGCCAGCAGCCGCCGUAA
Molecule: ribosomal RNA, 504 nt
Filed under: uncultured bacterium
Lineage: Bacteria
Description: partial 16S ribosomal RNA
Rfam family: Bacterial small subunit ribosomal RNA
Source: RNAcentral